RNAcentral lists this ribosomal RNA (497 nucleotides) under uncultured bacterium. Its description in RNAcentral is "partial 16S ribosomal RNA". It matches the Rfam family "Bacterial small subunit ribosomal RNA", at positions 28 to 507 of the family's 1533-position model. The record is from RNAcentral.
GAUGAACGCUGGCGGCGUGCCUAAUACAUGCAAGUCGAGCGAACAGACGAGGAGCUUGCUCCUCUGACGUUAGCGGCGGACGGGUGAGUAAUACGUGGAUAACCUACCUAUAAUACUGGGAUAACUUCGGGAAACCGGAGCUAAUACCGGAUAAUAUAUUGAACCGCAUGGUUCAAUAGUGAAAGACGGUUUUGCUGUCACUUAUAGAUGGAUCCGCGCCGCAUUAGCUAGUUGGUAAGGUAACGGCUUACCAAGGCGACGAUGCGUAGCCGACCUGAGAGGGUGAUCGGCCACACUGGAACUGAGACACGGUCCAGACUCCUACGGGAGGCAGCAGUAGGGAAUCUUCCGCAAUGGGCGCAAGCCUGACGGAGCAACGCCGCGUGAGUGAUGAAGGUCUUCGGAUCGUAAAACUCUGUUAUUAGGGAAGAACAAAUGUGUAAGUAACUAUGCACGUCUUGACGGUACCUAAUCAGAAAGCCACGGCUAACUACGUG